AUGAGUGAUGUUAAGGGUCACGCAGAGAAGCAAUGGCCGAAUUACUAGCCUCCGAAGGACUGUCACCAGAUUGGUCACCGUGGAGUAUCAAGCAGUGCUGCUGCAUAAAGGCAACACUGAGAGAUGAAGCCCCUUUCUCCAGCAUCCGUGUGGGUGGAGGGCCAGGGAUCCCGUCUGUUACGCACAUUGAACAAACUCAAGUUUUGCCAUCCACUGGGCGUCCUGCAGUACAGCGGUGUGGGCUCAUCUCCAGGACCUCUCUCUACGAGGUACGCCCCUCAUCUUGUGGGCAUCAGUGCUCCUUCCAGGCCUCUCAGUCCGGACUGAGUUGGGCACCGCGUCAGCGUCCCGCGGCCGGGCUCGCCGCCGAUGACUCCGCUCGCCUAGGGAGGCGGCCGAGAGCCCAUAGGGCUCCUCCUUCACUCCAGUCUCUAUGGCGGAAGUGAGUUGUCCCGGCCGAAACACCACAGCGUUCUCGGUGGUGGGCUGAAUGGACUCGUCCACAUCAGGGGGAUCUUCAUCACCAUCAACUCUUAAAAUCCGAGACAUAACCACGAAAGGAGCAGCCCCCAGAUCAGAGAGCAACGCAUGACUAUCUGUGUGUGCUCCUGUGACUACGCGAUGAUGUGGGCGGCUACAUGCGUGCGGGGGCCCGGCGAGCUGGGCAGGUGCCCCCUCCGGGGCCGUGGGAUCUGCCGGUCUCUUGUGGCUCAGCGCCGUGCGGAGGUUGACGCGUACCUGCGGAGGUCGCACCAGG
RNAcentral lists this small RNA (757 nucleotides) under Pongo abelii (Sumatran orangutan). Its description in RNAcentral is "processed transcript". Lineage: Eukaryota; Metazoa; Chordata; Mammalia; Primates; Hominidae. The record is from RNAcentral.